Molecule: long non-coding RNA, 352 nt
Filed under: Nicotiana benthamiana
Lineage: Eukaryota; Viridiplantae; Streptophyta; Magnoliopsida; Solanales; Solanaceae
Description: long non-coding RNA (NBEN_LNC008868)
Source: RNAcentral
UGGAUGCCUAGGCCUAGAAGCAUUUAUAUUACCAGAAAAAUUAAACUCAGGCAAAUCAUCAUCAUCACGAACUGCUUUGGGACCAAACCCAGGUGGAAUAUCAUCAUCGUCGUCCAGGGUAGGAUCGUGUUUCAAAGAUAUAGGUCCUUUAGGCAUCAAAUUUACAUUAACGUUUCCAUCAUCGUCCGGGGUAGGAUCGUGUUUCGAAGAUACAGGUCCUUUAGGCAUCAAAUUUACAUUAACGUUUCCAACUUUUUCAUGCUGUCCUCUAGAAAACAUCUGUUGUUUUUUCAAGCCAUGUUUAUGGUGCGAAGAAGAGUUAGGUGAUAUCGUUGAACUUAUAUGAAGUUUU